Molecule: ribosomal RNA, 253 nt
Filed under: uncultured bacterium
Lineage: Bacteria
Description: partial 16S ribosomal RNA
Rfam family: Bacterial small subunit ribosomal RNA
Source: RNAcentral
UACGGAGGGUGCAAGCGUUAUCCGGAUUCACUGGGUUUAAAGGGUGCGUAGGUGGGCAGGUAAGUCAGUGGUGAAAUCUCCGGGCUUAACCCGGAAACUGCCAUUGAUACUAUCUGUCUUGAAUACCGUGGAGGUGAGCGGAAUAUGUCAUGUAGCGGUGAAAUGCUUAGAUAUGACAUAGAACACCAAUUGCGAAGGCAGCUCGCUACACGAAUAUUGACUCUGAGGCACGAAAGCGUGGGGAUCAAACAGG